Molecule: ribosomal RNA, 81 nt
Filed under: Escherichia coli
Lineage: Bacteria; Pseudomonadati; Pseudomonadota; Gammaproteobacteria; Enterobacterales; Enterobacteriaceae
Also listed under: 2 other names
Description: partial 16S ribosomal RNA
Rfam family: Bacterial small subunit ribosomal RNA
Source: RNAcentral
AAAUUGAAGAGUUUGAUCAUGGCUCAGAUUGAACGCUGGCGGCAGGCCUAACACAUGCAAGUCGAACGGUAACAGGAAGAA